GUGCUCACUUCGGCAGCACAUAUACCAAAA
This 30-nucleotide small nuclear RNA is filed under the name Cervus elaphus hippelaphus. The record is from RNAcentral. Lineage: Eukaryota; Metazoa; Chordata; Mammalia; Artiodactyla; Cervidae.